UACGUAGGGCGCAAGCGUUAUCCGGAAUUAUUGGGCGUAAAGAGCUCGUAGGCGGUUUGUCGCGUCUGCCGUGAAAGUCCGGGGCUCAACUCCGGAUCUGCGGUGGGUACGGGCAGACUAGAGUGAUGUAGGGGAGAUUGGAAUUCCUGGUGUAGCGGUGAAAUGCGCAGAUAUCAGGAGGAACACCGAUGGCGAAGGCAGGUCUCUGGGCAUUAACUGACGCUGAGGAGCGAAAGCAUGGGGAGCGAACAGG
Molecule: ribosomal RNA, 253 nt
Filed under: uncultured bacterium
Lineage: Bacteria
Description: partial 16S ribosomal RNA
Rfam family: Bacterial small subunit ribosomal RNA
Source: RNAcentral